GACGAACGCUGGCGGCGUGCUUAACACAUGCAAGUCGAACGGAAAGGCCCUGCUUUUGUGCGGUGCUCGAGUGGCGAACGGGUGAGUAACACGUGAGUAACCUGCCCUUGACUUUGGGAUAACUUCAGGAAACUGGGGCUAAUACCGGAUAGGAGCUCCUGCUGCAUGGUGGGGGUUGGAAAUUUUCGGCGGUUGGGGAUGGACUCGCGGCUUAUCAGCUUGUUGGUGGGGUAGUGGCUUACCAAGGCUUUGACGGGUAGCCGGCCUGAGAGGGUGACCGGCCACAAGAGGACUGCGAGACGGCGCAGACGCGUACAGGAGGCAGCAGUGGGGAAUAUUGCACAAUCGGCGGAAGCCUGAUGCAGAAACGCCGCGUGCGGGAUGACGGCCUUCUGGUUGUAAACCGCUUUCGCCUGUGACGAAGCGUGAGUGACGGUAACGGGUAAAGAAGCACCGGCUAACUACGUG
This 468-nucleotide ribosomal RNA is filed under the name uncultured bacterium. RNAcentral's name for it is "partial 16S ribosomal RNA". It matches the Rfam family "Bacterial small subunit ribosomal RNA", at positions 28 to 507 of the family's 1533-position model. The record is from RNAcentral.